AUUGAACGCUGGCGGCAUGCCUUACACAUGCAAGUCGAACGGCAGCGCGGGGCAACCUGGCGGCGAGUGGCGAACGGGUGAGUAAUAUAUCGGAACAUACCCUAGAGUGGGGGAUAACGUAGCGAAAGUUACGCUAAUACCGCAUACGCACUAAGGUGGAAAGUGGGGGAUUCGCAAGAACCUCAUGCUCAUGGAGUGGCCGAUAUCUGAUUAGCUAGUUGGUGAGGUAAAGGCUCACCAAGGCAACGAUCAGUAGCUGGUUUGAGAGAACGACCAGCCACACUGGAACUGAGACACGGUCCAGACUCCUACGGGAGGCAGCAGUGGGGAAUUUUGGACAAUGGGCGAAAGCCUGAUCCAGCCAUGCCGCGUGCAGGAUGAAGGCCUUCGGGUUGUAAACUGCUUUGUACGGAACGAAAAGUACUCUUUCUAUAAAGAGGGAUCAUGACGGUACCGUAAGAAUAAG
This 466-nucleotide ribosomal RNA is filed under the name uncultured bacterium. Its description in RNAcentral is "bacterial SSU rRNA". It matches the Rfam family "Bacterial small subunit ribosomal RNA", at positions 30 to 490 of the family's 1533-position model. The record is from RNAcentral.